AGUGAACGCUGGCGGUAGGCCUAACACAUGCCAGUCGAACGGCAGCACAGUAAGAGCUUGCUCUUACGGGUGGCGAGUGGCGGACGGGUGAGGAAUACAUCGGAAUCUACUUUUUCGUGGGGGAUAACGUAGGGAAACGUACGCUAAUACCGCAUACGACCUACGGGUGAAAGCAGGGGAUCUUCGGACCUUGCGCGAUUGAAUAAGCCGAUGUCGGAUUAGCUAGUUGGCGGGGUAAAGGCCCACCAAGGCGACGAUCCGUAGCUGGUCUGAGAGGAUGAUCAGCCACACUGGAACUGAGACACGGUCCAGACUCCUACGGGAGGCAGCAGUGGGGAAUAUUGGACAAUGGGCGCAAGCCUGAUCCAGCCAUACCGCGUGGGUGAAGAAGGCCUUCUGGUUGUAAAGCCCUUUUGUUGGGAAAGAAAAGCAGCAGGUUAAUACCCCGCUGUUCUGACGGUACCCAAAGAAUAAGCACCGGCUAACUUCGUG
Molecule: ribosomal RNA, 492 nt
Filed under: uncultured bacterium
Lineage: Bacteria
Description: partial 16S ribosomal RNA
Rfam family: Bacterial small subunit ribosomal RNA
Source: RNAcentral